CACAGGUGUGUGCCACAAUACCUGGCUAAUUUUUUUGUAUUUUUAGUAGAGACAGGGUUUCCCCAUGUUGCCCAGGCUGGUCUCAAAUUCUUGAGCUCAAGUGAUCUGCCCGCCUUGGCCUCUUAAAGUGCUGGGAUUACAGGUGUGAGCCAUUGCACCAGCCAAAUAGUGGGUUCUUGAUGAAAGACAAUUAGAUGGUAUCAUUUUUUUUCUCUAAUUAAUGUUCCAGAAAUCAUGUGUAUGUCUGGGCAUACCUGAGGAAAAAUCCCUGAAAGUAGGCAGAAUCAGUGGUAUCAAGAUUAUGAACAUUGAAAAUGUUGACAGCUAUUGAGAAAUUGCCCCUCAAGGGUGAGUACUUUUUUUUUAAAAAAAGAAUAAAUUUUAUUUAUUUAUUUAUUUAUUUUUCUUUUUUAUUAAUGAGAACACUUGGACACAGGGUUAGUACUUUUUGAUAGGGAAAGCAAGUUACCUCCCAAGUUUGUGAGUCAGCAAGUCAGCUGAGACACAAAGCAUCAAAGCCAGGGCAUUGAAUGUUGUGGCAAGAGGCGGUUCUGGAGCCGUCACCUCUGGAGGGGUCUCUGUUCCGGGGCUGGCUCCUUAUGCCUCAUUUCCCAGCUGAGCCCAUGGAGAUCUCUCGCUCCAAUCUGAGUCUCUGGGGCCUGGUAAAAUUCCCCUCUGUGUUUAGUCACCUCUUGAUUGGGAGCCAAAGCACAAAACCAGUCAGCCCCAUGAGCAGGAAUUACCUGUUUCUCAUCAACUCCGCUUGCCAGAACGAGAUGAUGACUGUUUGGACGAACGGAGGCAAGAUGGCGCACUUCCGGGUUCUUCAUCACCAACUUUUCCUGCGCACGUGAAAAUGCAGCCGGCGCCCGGGAAGGUGCAGACCAACCGGGCAUGCGCCAGGUGACAUCAAUCCGAAGAGACCAAGAUUUACCUGGUCGCACCUGCGGAAGGCCCCCCGACAUGCCCAUGCCCCGCCUAUUGCCCUCCCACUCCUAGAAAAGCCGCUCCUGGCAGACGCGCCGCGGGGACUUCCCAGACCCCACUCCUGUCGGGACUGCAUUAGGAACUCCGUCCGAGAGCUUCACCGGGUGACUCUCUUGGCUUCCUUUGCUGGAGGCCGACAGACUUCUCUCUACCCACUUUCUUCCCUGAAGCUAGGUGACCAAAAAUAAAUUUGCAGUUUUGCUCCUACCCUUGCCUACU
This 1206-nucleotide long non-coding RNA is filed under the name Piliocolobus tephrosceles (Ugandan red Colobus). Its description in RNAcentral is "lncRNA (ENSPTEG00000027482.1)". Lineage: Eukaryota; Metazoa; Chordata; Mammalia; Primates; Cercopithecidae. The record is from RNAcentral.